UUAGAUUUAGUUUCAUUGAAUACUGACUUAUUGAUAUUUUGAUUUGAAAAAAAGAAGGCUAUUCAAUUAUGGCAUUGGCAUACAUCUAUUGAAAUGUGAAGAUCCUGAUAGAAUGCCCAGCAUCAGCAAGAUCAUUAAUCCCAAAGACAAUCAUAUUUCUUUCCAAGUAUUUGUCUUCUUUCACUAUUAUUAUCUCUUUUAUCUUCUAUAUGCACACUCAAAAGCAUGUGCGAGCGAUGUGCUUGAAAUGAUUAGUUAUAUGUACUUUACUUGUUGGCAGUGUGAGAACAUGGCGACAGUGGAGAGAAAAUUGACGGAGAUGAAGAUAGAGUACGUCAAGAGCAGGGUAGAGGAGGGUGGAAUCUACGUUGAUCAAGUGUUCUUUCACGACCCAGAUGGCUCGAUGAUUGAUAUUUCCAACUGUGACGUCCUGCCAGUGGUUCCACUAGCUGGAGAUACCAUCAGAUCAUGCUCAAUUGUCAACUGCAAUAUCCAGCAGCGCAACAGCAGCGGCAGAUUCAAUCAUGCAAAUGAAACAGCAAUGCCUUUCUAAUUCUAAUGAAGGCUUCUUUCGUCGUGCAAAAUGAUUAGAAUAAAUAGAUUAUGGAUAUUUAUCACAAGUGCCUGUUAGUAUAGGCUCUUUGUGUAUGUAUGUAUUAGAAAUACAAUGGUUAUGAUAACUUGACCAUUUAGUUCUUCAUUAGUAGUUAUUGAAUUGUGAUGAUGAAUGUAUUUGGUUUUGCAUAUAUAAUUUAUUUAAAUGUUAGCUCCUUUGAAAAAUUUUGAGGGUAAGACCAAGAGUAAGUUCUGUUACCCAUUAGACAAGGAUCAAACAAACAUCUCAAGUGAAAUUUAGAAGACCUGUGAAACAAGAAUACUAAUGAAUGAAUGAUUCUUGUUCAUACUUUCUCAUUAACUGUGAUAGAAUAUAUACACUUAGAAAGCCAAUCAAAAAAAGAAUCUAAAAAAAGAAUAUCUAAAUUAUAUAAAUUAAUCCUAAAAUAUCUCAUUAAUAUAUGCUUUCCUAAUAUGACUAAAUCAAAUAAUAAAGGAAAAGAUAUACCGAAAAAUAUCCACAAUUAAUUCACUAAAUUUCGAACACUCCCCCUCAAGUUUAGGAAUAUAUAUUUUACAUUUCAAGCUUGCUAAGAAGACUUUCAUGAGUUGACUUGGGUAAACUUUUGGUCAAGAUAUAUGCUUCUUGUGCAUGAGUAGAGUUGUAGCAUAAAUUGAUACCUUCUCCUUCGAUUUCAUUCUUGAUAAAACUUCAAUCAAUUCUAACAUGUUUCAUUUGAUCGUGUUGGACUGGAUUGUUCACAAUGCUAACGACAGAUUUGCUGUUAGUAUACAACUUAGUGGGAGAGCAAACUGUGAUUUGCAAAUCCUGCAUUAACCUUUCCAACCAUAUAACCUCACACAUUCCUUGUGCAAUAACCCGAAAUUCAGCUUCGGCACUACUCCUUGCCACAACUGUUUGUUUGUUACUCCUCCAUGUAACCAAGUUACCAUAUAGCUUGGUGCAAUAUCUUGAAGUUAGCUUACAAUCUUCACUUCCAGCCCAAUCCACAUCAACAUAUCUUUCAAUACUCAUGCUCUCAGUUUUUAGAAACAUUAGUUCUCUUCCCAGAGUUCCUUUAAGAUACCUCAAAAUAUGAUUUACAACCUCUAAAUGUCUUUGAGUAGGUGAAUACAUAUAUUGGCUCACUACAUUCAUAGCGUAUACAAUAUCAAGCCGUGUGAGAGAUAAGUAAAUCAAUCUACCAACCAAGCGUCAAUAUUUUUCUACAUCCACUGAAGACUCAUCAUUUUUAAUCUUGCUCUUCCCAUUCUUCUCGAGUGGAGUUCCUACUGGUUUACACCUUAACUUCUCGGUUUCUUCUAGUAGGUCAAGAGUGUAUUUCCUAUAAGAAAUGAAAAACCCUUUUUACUUCAAGCAACAUCCAUGUCAAGAAAAUAUUUCAAAGGUCCUAGAUCUUUAACUUCAAAUUCUUCCUUCAGUUGAUUCUUGAGCCCGUGAAUCUCAACAUUGUCAUCACGUAUAAUUAUGAUAUCAUUUACGUAUAUAAUAAGAAUGGAUUUUUUUCCAGCUUUUCCCUUUUUAACAAAGAUAAUGUGAUUAGUCUGCCCUUGAGUGUACUUUAGCCGAGUGAGAGUUGAGCUAAAUUUGGUGAACCACACACGUGGGGAUUGUUUCAAACCAUAUAACGUUUUUCAGUUUGCAAACUUUACCUCAUUCUUUUUCCGAUGGAAAUCUCGGUGGAAUCUUCAUAUAUACUUCUUCAUUAAGAUUGUCAUUCAAAAAAGCAUUCUUCACAUCGAUUUGAUGUAGUUCCCAGUCUAGAUUAACUGCCAAGGACAAGAAGACCCGAAUAGAGUUAAGUUUGACCAUUGGAGCAAACGUUUCUUAAUAAUCAAUCAUAUAUGUUUGUGUGAAGCCUUCUGCCACUAAUCGAGCUUUAUACAUUUCUACCUCUCUAUCUGCCUUAUAUAUCACUGUGAAAACCCAUUUACUUCCAACCACUUUCUUAUCAUUUGGUAGGUCAACUACUUCCCAAGUUCCAUUAUUAUGGAAUGCUCUAAUUUCCUCAUGCACAACUUUCUCCCACUUUGGAUCUUUGAAAGUCUUGAGAUAUUUUUUAGAAUUACCACAAUAUUUGCUAUGAAGGCUCUAAACCCAAAGAUAAUUUUGUGCAGGUUAUAAAAUUGGAAAUAUGAUGUUUCAUGCAUGUUUUUACCCCGUUUCCGUAUUGCAAUCGGCAAGUCCAAGUCACUACUCACUUUAGGAUCUAGUUCUUAGUUCAAUGAUUGGUCUUGUUGAGGAGCUUUUGGCCUUCGAGAGUAAACUUGAAGUGGUCUCUCAUAAAUUACUUCGCCCCAUUGAUCAUGACUUGGAACAGCACUAAGGAUAAGAAAUGGACUUAGACUUCAGUUUUCUGGAGAUGGUUGGACAUUGAUAUUUUUUUAUUCUAUUAGGGCAUAAUUCAUGAGCAAAAAUUAGACAUCUUUUGAUAUUGGAAGUGAUAUAGUAGGAUCCCAAUGACAUCUUUAUCAGAAUUCUCCCCUAGAGAUGGGUGUUGGGAUAACAAGGUUGAUUUUAAAAAAAGUUUACAUCACACGAGAUAAAAAUCUCUUAAGAAAAGGAGAAUAACAUUUGUACCCUUUUUGGGAUGGAGAAUAUCCAAUAAAUACAUAUUUAAGAGCCUUGAGAUUGAGUUUGCUUCGGUUGGGUUGUUUAUUAUGGACAAACACUGUGCAACCGAAUAUCUUUGGGGACACCAUGUUAAAAAAAAAUUACAGUUGGAAAAUGAUCAAGAAGGACACUCAAAUGAGUUCUAAAUUAAAGUGUUUUUUAGGGUAAAUGAUUAAUUAAAUAUGUUGAUGUGAGAAUUGCCUCACCCUAAUAGGAAUUUUGAACAAAAUUAGUGAACAUUAUUGAUCGAGCAACUCCAACAAAUGUCAAUUCUUUCUUUUUGCAACCUCAUUUUGUUUAAGUGUGUCAACACAAGAACUUUGAUGGUAUAUCCUAUUAUUCCCUAAAUACUGGCUAAAUUCAUUUGAUAAAUACUUCCUUCCAUUAUCUGUUCUAAGAACAUUUAUAUUGGAUUAAAAAAUAUUUUGGAUAAAUUUGUGGAACUGUUGAAACCAGUAAAAUGCCUUAGAUUUAUUUCCAUUAAGUACACCCAACACAUCCUAGUAUAGUCAUCUAUGAAAGUGAAAACCAUUGAGUUCUAGUUAAAUUAACUAUUCUGGAUGGACCUCAGAUAUCACUAUAAAUCAACUGAAAAGGUCUUGAGGGUUUGUAUAUGUGUGGCGAAUAAUUGACUCUGGAUUGUUUAGAAAAGACACAAUGUUCACACUGAAACAAAACUUUUUCUUUAUUGACGAAAAGAUUUGGAUACAAAACUUUCGUAUAAGAAAAGCUUGGAUGCCUUAAGCAUUGAUGCCAUAACAUAAUAUCAUAAUAGAAGAUGUUAAGUGUUAGAAAAUGUAUAUUUAUAAAGAAGAAAAUCAUCAUUUUACAUUUCAAGUUUUACUAACAACCCUUAUUUUUAUGUAUUUAAGCUUCUUACAAUUUAAUUAUGUGUGUUUAAUUUUAAUUAAGUAUUUUAUGUAUUUUAGGGGCAUUAUGGUCAUUUCACAAUAAACGAGAGAUCAGACAGCAAAACAAACAUCACUUUUGAACUCAGGACGGUCGAAAACCUUAGGAGAAGCAUAAAAGGAAAAAUAGCACUAUUCACAUGUACGGUACUAUUCACGUGUACGAUACUGUCUAUGUUACUGUUUAUGACACUGUUCACAUAGACGGAUCGAUGAUGUGGCAUUGACCGAUGAUGUGGCAUUGACUGAUGAGGUGUCACGAUCCUGUUGGGCUAAAAUUCUUAUGUACUGUUGAUGGUGACGUGACAGCAUAUCAGUGGACGAAAAAUCUCGCGUACGGUAUAUGCAUCACACAUGAUUAUUUUCAACCAAACCGCGUCACUGUUCACCCGGGUCAAACCGUGUUACUGUUGAAUCCAUUUUUGGGAUCCAUUUUCUGUAAUUCCUUUUCCAUCUUAUAUUUUCUACGUAUUUUAAUAAAUUCCCAUUUUGCCCUUAGUUCAAUUAUGAAUGGCUAAUUUUCUUUCAAGCUUGGGUUGAAGGUGAAGUCUCAACAUGUGUCAUGGGCUUUAUUUGGUAAAUUUAUUUUCUUUUCCCCUCUAAUUUUUGUGGAUGAUUUGACUUUUCAUCGACAAAUAAUAAUAAUCUUGUCUAGAUACCGCCUUGGUUACACCGGCUCUCUAGUACAAGGUUAUUAUUAUUUGGCACGAUAAGCCCUUAGCACCAUAUUGAUUAGAGUGUGGUUCAUGAGGUGUGGAUUCCCCCCUCAUGAUUUAAUUGGUAUUAAUAAGGAAUAUUUAGCCCAUUGUGCAUGUUGAUACGAAUCCAGAUACCCAAGUACGUCAUUUCAAUAGAAUUCUUUUCAAUUUAUUCUCAUCAUUUCAAUUCCAAUUUUAGAAUUUAUUCUCGCCAUUUUAAUUUAAGUUUUAGCAUAUUCCAAAUCAUUUCCACCACAAAUCUAAUCACCUAUUUACAAAAUUAAUUCUACAUACAAUUAAAAUCCACCUCCUCGUGGGAUCGACACUCGUUACUAUUGAUCUAUACUACAAUAGAUUUGUGCGCUUGCGAGUACAUUAAAAUUUGCACAACAAAAGACAUAGACAUUUUAUUUUGUGACUUAACUCUACUAGAAUCCCUAACUCCUGAGAGGUAGUAUAGGCCAUCUUUUCUCUCAGCAAUGUCAAUCAUCUUCCCCAAAGAACAAUCCUGAAAUUCACAGUGAGAGGAGAAAAAUGCCACAACAUAAUUCAUAUCUUUUGUUAACUUACUAAAUAACAAAAGAUUAUAUGUCAACUUCAGUACAUGUAAAUCGAUUUUAAAAUCAUAUUCGGUAAGCCCUUUGCCAUUGCAUGUGACAUUUUUUCAUCCGCAACCCACACAUUGAUCCUGUUAUUACACUUGUCAUAACCUCAUGGACAUUUAUUGACCCAGUCAUAAGGUCAGAGGCCCUUGCAUCUACAAUCUAACAACCUGCUUACUAUGACUUUGAUGGAAAAUGUGACUUAUUUUACCUAUUUAUGUCAUAACUGUAGUAGGAAUGUUUGGGUUUUGACUCUCAGAUCUUGUUGACACCUUAUUUUGGUCCAUAACAUCUUCACUUGCUUUGUUGAGAAGUUAAAUCGAGCAACUUUACCCAAAGUUAAUUCCAUUAGACGGGCUGAUCUAGAUUGCUUGCGUUGUUUCCUUAGUUUCCAGUCAGUUGGCUUACCGUGUAAGUCCCAACAAGUUUCAUGGGUGUGAUAGGGCUUGUUAUAAUAAUAACAUCAGAACUUGUCUCUGGACUGAGAUACAUGGCCAUUAUCUUGUUUGUUUGAUGCAAGAGCCUCGCCUCGUGUUUCCAAGGAAUAAGCGUAUUGGCUGGAAGGAUUCAUCAUCACACGUUUCCUACUAUCCUCUCUCCUUACCUCAGCAAACGAUUCUCGAAGGGUUGGAAAAGGCUUCAUCCCGAGCAAUCUUCCACGUACUUCAUCCAAGUCCAGAUUUAAUCCCUGUAAAAAAUCAAAAGUACGCUCUUUCUUAAGCAUUUUCUUAUAUUUUUCUACAUCAACAGUAUAUGACUAUCCCAUCUCAUAAAAAAGAUCUAUUUUUUGCCACAACUCCAUUAAGAAAUUGUAAUAUUAAGUGACCAUGAGACUUCCUUGUCUGGUGUUGCGAAUCUUUGAUCAAAUCUCAAAACAUUGAGAUGUGUUUUCAAGAUCGAAAUAAAUUUCUUGUACUGCCUCUCAAAUCUCCUUUGUUGUCUUGUAAAAUAGAUAAGUUCGUCCAAUACUUGGCUCCAUAGAAUUAAUGAGCCAAGCCAUAACAAUCAAAUUUUCUGCUUUUCAAGUGCUAUAAUUUGGUGUUGUAUCCGAAUGAGGUGUUAUUGCCCAUGUCAAGUAGCCAACCUUUCAUCUACCCAUGUUGACAAGAAUAACAGAUUGAAACCAUUCUCGAAAAUUCAGUCUGUUAAGUUUGUGCUGAGUGAUUUACAAAGAGUGGCUGUCAAAAGAAGGUAUAGAUGAAGAUCCAAAUAUGGAUCUUGGAGAUGCUUGGUUUGCUGUAGUAGAAGACACUUUUGAGGUCAUAUUUAGUGGUUCUCCAGUCAUUUAAAAAAGUAAAAACAAAUCAUUGACUAAUAACCUUGCUCUGAUACUAUGAAACAAGAAUACUAAUGAAUGAAUGAUUCUUAUUCACACUUUCUCAUUAACUUUGACAUAAUAUAUACACUUAGAAAGCCAAUCAAAAAAGGAAACUAAAUAAAGAAUCUCGAAAUUAUGUAAACUAAUCCUACAAUAUCUCACUAAUAUAUGUUUUACUAUUUUGACUAAAUCAAAUAAUAAAGGAAAAGAUACACCGAAAAAUAUCUACAAUUAAUUGACUAAAUCUCCAACAACCCGCAAAGCGGAUUUGGAUUGCUUAUGAAUGAAGUAAAGAGUGGAAUCUAAUUUCUUCCAACACAACCAAAAGAUUUGGAAAUUUAGAUGUGUUAUUUUUCAUUUCUGUGUGGAGACUUCUUUUGCUUCCAUUCGAAACAAUUAACACUUGUAACUUUAGUCACAAUGGCUCUUUUGAGAGUAAUGGGAUGAUAAGGCUAUCAGUUUCAAGAUUAAGGAGUGAACUGAUGUUGAUCAAGCAGGCAACAACUAGCCUCAUUGAUAAGCACAAUUAGCAAAUUGAUCCUAUGUAUUGAGCUCUUCUUCUUUCUUUGCAGUCAAUGUUCAAAUCAAAUUCUUCUUUAUCUGAUUCAGUAGCUUUUGGUUCUUUAAUUUAGUCACUAAUUCCCUGUUAUAUAUGUUCAUCUGACAAAUGUAGGGAUGGCAAAUUAACCCGAACCCGAAUCGGACCCGGACAAACCCGAAUAAUCUGGUCCGGGUUUAACCCGCACCGGAAGUUAAUACAAUGCGGAUCCGGAAAGGAUAUUUUGAACCCAGAUACAUUCUGGGUCUGGAUCCGGUUUUAUCUUAACCCGGACCCGGAUAAUUUAAUUAUAAAAAAAAAAAACCUAAUGCCUUAAGUCUUAACCUACUGCAGCCGCUUAUUUCUUCUCCAAUUUUUCUUUCUUUCUUCUCCAUCUUCUCUUUUCAUUAAACCCACUGCAACUGCUUUCUUUCUUCUCCAAUUUCUCUUUCAUUCACUCAAAUGACUUGGAAAAAUCUUUGUAUUGAAAGGAAGACAAAGAGGAAUGCGCCCAUUAAGGCUGAUCCUCAUUUUUUGUCACUCUUGCUGGUUUUUGACAGCUGCUUUCUGCCACUCUUGCUGGUUUUUUGUCACCAGAAACUGCUGAAUCUCCACAACAACUUUCUGACGAUGCUCUCCUCGACGCCGAUGACAACACCAAUGCCACCAAAAAUAUGAAAACUCAACAAUCCUCCCUCAACAUUCAUUUAGCUAUGGUUUUGAGAUUUUGGUGAUUUGAGAUUUGGAGAUUUGAGGAAGUAACAUCGAGAGAAAAAAAAAUUGUAAUAGAUAUCCGGGUUUGGAAUCCGCAAUCCAGAAACCUGGAUUUUUCCAGGUUCAACCCGGUUUGGACCCGAAAUUAAAAUAUUCGGGUUAUAUCCGGGCCCGGUAUAGUAAAAUUGUCAUCCGGAUCCGGAUCCGGAACCGGAAAGGCUGGACCCGGACCUGGAUCCGGAUUUUGCCAUCCCUAGACAAAUGCACUCUAAUCUGAAAAUGCAUCAAUAAUGAAGGGCCCAAUCUUUUAACCAUGAAGCUUAAUAAAUAGUUCCAUCUUGUAUGAACAGAAGACAGUAGAGGCAGCUUACCCCAAAUGGUUAAACUUAAGAUCAAAUGGAUCGAACAUAUAUAAUUGCAUAUAUAGCAAGGAAUUGAAAUCAAUCAAACAAGGACUGCAGCAGGCUAGAUGUUUACCUGAAGAGCAGAAGACUCUUGAAGAAACAUGACAGAAAGAUUUACAUUGAAGACUUGUGGUUCUGAUAUUUCCAAAGGAAGGAGGUUACUACUUUCCCAAAUACCUUGCAUGGAAGGCCAAGCGCUUAGAACUUUUAUUCAUGUAAAUUCAGGCUACAAUUGAAUUAUUGCAAGUCUAUUUUUCGUUACUUACAAAGAUCAUCGUGAGACCACACGUGAGCCAUAGCCAUGGCCAUCACUGGCCGGUUAAUUCAAAGAUCAUCAUACUGUUAGUUAUAAUUAAUCCAAGAAACUUGGCUACUGAAUGAGCGCAAAGAUCACUAGUAUUAUAAGGUGUUCUGAACAACUAUGCUGCAGCUUUCACUUCUGUCGUUAAAAAAAAAAAACUAAUUCUAUACAUGGUGUGUGUAUAUAUAUAGAUAUAAAGCACAAUCUCAUGGUUGUAAUAUAAGAUUAAAUGAUUUAACCUGUGAAAUCAUUCAUCAAUAUGGAAAAAAAACAAGAUGUGGAUUUUCAUACCAGAUGGCUUAGAGAUGAAGUUAUACCUGACAACAAAUGAUGGCAAUACGCGUCAACUUUCCGGGCCUCUGAAUUAGCCAAGAUUGUGGAAGGAAAAGAGAAGAAUUAGGAGCUCCCUUCAGUCCAAAACAUAGAGAGAAGAGCAGAAUUAGCCAACUGUUUUGGGCCGCAAGGAACCCCUAUUUCUACCAUUUUCGCAAAUUUUAUUAAGAGACCGAAAGAAAAGUGUAAAUUUAUAAUGGAAUUGAAGUAGCACUCGAGAUAUGGCUAUGCAAAAGCUGCUGCUUUCUAAAUAUGUCGAGUGAAAAGCAAUGCCUUCAGCUUUUGAAACUUACAUUUGCUGUGAAAUGGACUUGGCUCCUGCCUUGAUUCAAGCUCUCUAACCACCCAAGCCAAAACUAUAAAUGCAUGAAUAUGCAAAUGGCCGGCCAAGCAAUAAACAGAGCUAUUAUUUGUCUACUAUCAAGACAUGUAGUAAUGUCUAGUUUGCUUUUAUCAAUUGUCUCUAUAUAGUUAUACUUUCAGGUCUCAAUUUCUUUUGUGGUGGUCCAAAUCCUCUGUGGAAAGAAAGUAAUGGCGUUCACUUUGUU
Molecule: long non-coding RNA, 9554 nt
Filed under: Citrus maxima (pomelo)
Lineage: Eukaryota; Viridiplantae; Streptophyta; Magnoliopsida; Sapindales; Rutaceae
Description: long non-coding RNA (CMAX_LNC001783)
Source: RNAcentral